AAAGCGUUAUGAGGGCAAUUUUUAACUAAUUUCUUGAAUCUCUUCCAAGCAUCACUCAAGGUUUCCUGAUCUCUUUGUUUAAAAUUAAUGAUGUCUAUUUGCCACUUU
This is a small nucleolar RNA of Benincasa hispida (wax gourd), 108 nucleotides long. NCBI's taxonomy places the organism in Eukaryota, Viridiplantae, Streptophyta, Magnoliopsida, Cucurbitales, Cucurbitaceae. The record is from RefSeq and is a predicted model, not a curated record.